Molecule: small RNA, 450 nt
Filed under: Arabidopsis thaliana (thale cress)
Lineage: Eukaryota; Viridiplantae; Streptophyta; Magnoliopsida; Brassicales; Brassicaceae
Description: ATSL157510
Source: RNAcentral
GGGCUAUGAUACAAGGUGAUAUUUGGAAUUAACCUAGGGUAUUAGAAUGCCCUAUAUACGUUUGGAUUAAGAUCUUUAGGUAAUAUAUAAAAAAUAUAGCAAUCUUUAAUUCUUGAACUAGUUUUUAGGUUAAGUUAGACUAUUUUCCUAAUAUAGUAUUAGAGCUUAUAGUUGGCCCAAUAGAUAAAUUCCCACAAAAAUUGUUUCUUACUUAUGUGGCCCAUACAAAUGACAUGUCUUGUUGUAUUUACGAGAUGUUGGGCUUGAUCUGUUUCACGUUGGACCGUUUUUCACCUAUAUCUCGAAGAAGCCUAUUAAAAUAUCUCACAUCGAUUAGAAUUAAAAUUCUUGGACAAUAUAAAAGGAUAAGUUCUUAACUCUUAAGUUAUCUUUUGGGUUAAGUUAAGUCACAAUUUUAAUAUAGGGUUUUGUUCAUAUUGCGUCUCGGGU